Molecule: ribosomal RNA, 376 nt
Filed under: uncultured organism
Description: bacterial SSU rRNA
Rfam family: Archaeal small subunit ribosomal RNA
Source: RNAcentral
CCCGCAGCACAAGUGGUGGUCAUUAUUAUUGGGCCUAAAGCGUCCGUAGCUGGCUUGUUAGAUGCCUGGGUAAAUCGAUGCGCUCAACGCAUCGAAUUCCGGGUAGACCGGCAAGCUUGGGACCGGGAGAGGCGUGAGCUACUCGAGGGGUAGGGGUAAAAUCCUGUAAUCCUUCGGGGAGGACCAGUGGCGAAGGCGUCACGCUAGAACGGCUCCGACAGUGAGGGACGAAGCCCUGGGGCGCAAACCGGAUUAGAUACCCGGGUAGUCCAGGGUGUAAACGCUGCAGACUUGGUGUCGGUGAUCCUACGAGGGGUUGCCGGUGCCGUAGAGAAGUUGUUUAGUCUGCCGCCUGGGGAGUACGGUCGCAAGACUG